RNA transcript from Parus major (Great Tit), 9049 nucleotides. RefSeq lists it as uncharacterized. The record is from RefSeq and is a predicted model, not a curated record. Lineage: Eukaryota; Metazoa; Chordata; Aves; Passeriformes; Paridae. The transcript is spliced from 17 exons.
UUUGCUCUAUUCAUUUUCACUUGGUUCUUUUUUUUAUUUACUUGGUUCAGCUCCAGCAUUUUUACUUCUCUCCCCUGAGUGCUCUUCAGCCUGACAGUCCCUUUCACCCUGCUCUCUGCACCUCCCUCCCUGCCUGAUGGGAAGGUUGUUCCUCAGGUGCUGGGGUUCAUUCCUGCAUGAAGAGCACUGUUCAGCAGAGGAAGCUGUGGGAGGGCCAUCCCGCUGCCCCAGCUGGGCUUUCACUGCACCUGUCUUCACAAGCAUCGGAGCAUUCGUGUUUCGUCUGUCUUUUCGUGGCCAGAUGAAGUCAUCUUGGAGCAUGGGUGCGGUGGUGAAAGACACACACAGUGAAUUUACAUCUCUUGGAUAAAGGGAGAAACCAAAGAAAGAUUUCCCCUGUGAGCUGGCUUUUAUCGUCAGUGGGAACAUCUUAGUCAGCACAAGCUCAGACUUCUCAAAUUGUGCAGCCAUGUGUUGUGAGAGGUACAGCCUCUGCAGCUUCCUUGUUCCCUGGAUCAGCCAAGGACGAAGGCUCCAGGAUCUGGUGCUCCUCUGGCAGGAAUUGCAGAGCCCAGGUCAGAUAGAUUGGUAUUGUUGGUCCAGAGCACCAUAGAGAAUAAAGAAAAAAUGUAUGGUGAUCAUUGGAAGUCUGAUUGGGAAGCAUGUGAUGGAGUCCAUCAAGUUUUAAACUUCAUGGAAGCAUUUGAAAUCCCAGGGUUUCCAGUGUGCUGCCUGGUCACUGUCUCCAUCGGUUGGCCAUCCACCAGUUUCCUGGGAAGAUGUCACCUGGCAGUCACAUUCACCACAGGAGAUGUUGGCCAGUAGGUUGUGGCAGCCUGUCAGAAGUGGUUGGAGACCUUCGUUGGAUGAGCAAAGCCUAUCCACUUUCUGUCAAGCCUGAAAACGCCACAGAAGGCAUGGAGCACCCAGUCACAGUCCUGUUGCUCAUCUUUCAAACUGCAGAUGAAUGGCAAUGUCACCCCAGAACACACCACCCUGGAGGCAUUGCCAUGAGAGUCAUGGCAACAACUCAGCAGGUGCUUUUCAGGUGAAGAGUACUUAAGGCCAUGGAUGUGAAUGCUCUCUCUUUUCCCAGGCCCUUCAGCAAUUUAUCAUGCUUUCUGUUCAGGUGCAUCUGAAACAAGUCUUACAAGAAACCCUCAGACCAAAGCAAACAGUGCCACAAAAAAAUGUUGCAAUUCAACCCAAUUUUGAGGGAAAUGCCCCUGAUAACUUCUCAGCUCCGAAGAGAAGCAGUGGAGGCUGGGGCCACUGAGUCUCCAUGGAAAUCAGAGAGGGUCCAGCCCAAAGGAGAUGAGCGUGUUUGAGCUGUGUUUGCACUGUCUGGCCAGGAAGACAGCACUCAUCUCUGCCACAAAGGUCUCAGUGUGGUUUGUGCUGAAGUGGGAUCCUACAUCUGGGAUCUACCCAAGAGCUACAUCAUACUAUCUUAGAGAUAGGAAAGCUUCAUAAAGGGAGGACUUUGAAUCAGGAGUUUGCUGUGCAUUGCAACAUUUAUCGCCAUGAUUCACAUACCUCCAGUGUUACUGCAAAUCCAGGCAAAGUGUGAAAUGAUUCUCUCUCUUAUCUUUAAGGAAAUGCAACAUGCUCCUACCACACUGACUCUCAAAGUCAGCUCUACCCUGCUUUGAGCCACAGAAAUUGUCAGGAUUUUUGAAAAAGCUCAACAAACCACAACACCACAAUCUAGCCAAUUAAUUUUGAAGUGCUUUGGGAACAAUUCAGGGUUUUUUCACCUUAUGCAGCUCCAUAGAAACCCUUGGAGUUCUGCAGGUGCAUAACAACCAAGUUAUGAAGGAGCUGGAGGCACUAAGAGAGGUGGAACAUGAUUAAUAACUGUCAAAUUACAGGGAACACUUGAAAAUCCUUAAAUCUCUCCCCUCUCCUACUUCAUCCUGGCAAUAAGAACAUGACUCUUCAGUUAGGCUGUCUUUCCCUGAGGCAGUCCCUUCACUUGAGGCAGGAGAUGAUCUGAAGCCACAAGCAAAGGGUUCAGAAACUUUAUGACAAAAUCAGGAGAAAAAAAGAGAGACUGGGUGAGCUGCCACACAGAGGAUCACAGAAGGGAGUAGCUGGCAUGUGUAUGCCAGCACCAGAAUCCUCAGACUUUCAUCAUGGGAACCACAGCUUGACUGCCAGAUAAACCAGCUCCUUUUGUAUUCACAAUUGCAAAAUGUCUCUGCAGCAGCUCUAGCAAUUGCUUAGAGAGGAAAGAAAUAGAAAAACUUUUCUUGCAUCCUUAGCAUAGCAGGUGUUUUACAAAUUAAAAUAAAAAAAAGGGAUCAAUUCUGCAUUUUAUUUUGGCCCUUUGCUAUAUCCCUGCUCUGUGUCUGAAAUGUUUUCUUCACCAAAGAGACAAGCAGAGGUAGUCAACUCUUUACAAACAGUGGUUUUAGGUUUAUCAAUAUUAAGGUUGUUUUCUUUUACAGAUUUCAGUACUGUUUUUUAGUCUAGAUAGCAUAGGGUAACUCUAUUUACUUUGUUGCCCUGCUGUCUUUAGCAGAAAAACUUAAGAAGUUUGUUUCUCACUUCUGUUUGCCAUGGAGGCCUCAAUCUCAGAGAAGAUUGUAGAAGAAACUCAGUUAAUCGAAGGUUAAACAAAAUGAAUGAAGUUUGUAUGGUGCCCUGAAGGUUAUUAGACUCAAGGUCUGAGCAGCUGCCAAGGGGAGUGAGUUCCAGGGCAGGAGCAUUCAUCUGAGAAAUCCCAGUUGCUGGAUGUGGAGGGGUUGAACUUGGGAGCUGCAGGCGCCUCCCAGCUGAGUUUGGCUGCCAUGGCUGCAUGUGGGAGUGAUGCUCUGGAGAGGCACCUGGUUUAUCUUCCACUUCGGUCCAACUUGGAGAUGGAAUUGAAAUCACAAGUAUGUGUGAAAAUGGCUGGGGAGCCUUUAUUGGGAGUUAUACUGAAGGUUACUUCACACAACCACAGACUGGGCUUCAGCAGUUGCAGCAGAUAAGUUUUUACCAUGGACCCUGUGUAAAGAAGAGACCUAGCAAGGAGAAUGAAGGCUUGUUCUUCUGCCAGUUCACUUGCUACUUAGCCCUGGGCUGGGAGCAUGAUGCCAUAUGCAGAACAUGAAGCAGGAUUCAGUGAAUUUAUUCCUUUAGCAUUUUUGAAAACCGCCACAUUUGUGUAUGCAGCGUGUGGAAUUUGUCAUGCAAACACCUAUGUUUUUUUAGAUACCCUUAAAUAGGCUUUCAAAGGGAUCUCAAAGAAUGCAAGCUACUGAAGAACUGAUUGACACUUCUAUGUACAGCACAGAACCAUCAGACACAGCUCCUGAACUGCGAGCACUUCCUCUUGCUACAGGCACUAACUGAGGGAAGCCUAGGUGGCUGUACCUCCCUGCUCUCCUCCCAGCUCUGCAGAUAAAUGCUAGCUCCUGUCAUUUGGAGGAGUAGCUGGGGAGCAGAGUUGAUGCUAGUGUGUCCUCUGAGGAACAGAUUGGCCUGUUUGGAUGAUUUUUCCCUGAGGGUGCAAUGACCAGGCUGUGGAAAAGGUGUUCAGAGGGCUGGAGCCAUUGUGGCAUGGCUGGUAGGAAUAUUGAGGGGUAGGUGGUGAGGCUGCAGUUUUAACUGUAAGUACAACCUCUGGCCAUAAAUUUGAUAUUUUCUCAUCCUAAAACACCAUCUACUUGCUACUGUUUAUAUCCCAUGCCAACACUCACACAUUCGGGCAAGUCUGUGCUACAGGGAUACCUGUGGUCACAGCUCCUCCCUGAAGUCAUCUGUGCAGCUUGGGAGGAAGGUGACCUCCCUUUUCGGAGUACUUCAGCCUGAAUUAACAGAAAACUGCCUGUGGUUGUGGGCACAUUACUUUGAGUGUUUAUGCCACUUAUCUGUUACCUAAAGAUGGAGGUUUUGAAGACACUUUUAAGUUUUUUUUUGUUUUUUUUCUUUCAGCGGCUAAUCUUACAGUGUCAGAGCCUGCACUCAUGGGAAAGUUGCACCAUCUUACCUCAAGGGGCUUUAUGUUUAGUUAGAACGACAUAGGAUGAAUUAUGCAUUGGAGGAUAGGAAGGCUCUGCAGAAGGAUCUGGACAACACAAGAAGCAAAGUGUGACCUUGCAGCUUCCCGCUGUGCUCUUUCACUUCACUUUUCUGGUCAGUCACGAGAGAGAACUCAAGCAGAAGGCAGCCGACUCUCUCCAUCUCCCAUUACCCUUGCACGGCUACUGCUGCACAUUCCACUGCAGGGCAGCUGUCCCUGGCAUGAGGUUUGCUCCCCGACAAGCCCAUGUGAGCACUGGUGGGACUCCAGGCUGUGGAUCCUGUACUGUGUGGGCUAGGUGGAUGACUCACAAAAGCCAGGAUUGUGCCCUGCCAGCAAGCAGCAAAGAGGCAGCUGAUGCCGGCCGGCCGGCUGCCAAGCAGGUCAGGCCUCUGCAGCUGAAACUGCCCGAGAUUCCUAAGCGGGAUGAUGAAUCAGCUGUGUCCUUUAGGACACAUCCUCUCUUGGACAUGUUGCCGGGAUGUCGUGUCUCCCCGCUGCUUCCCCGUGAGAGUGUGCUCGGAGCUGCUGGUUGAUGACACUGGCCGGGUUGAUGAGUUUGCUUUAACUCUUCCUCCUCCCCCUCAUAAACCAGCUUUGCCUCCUGGUGAAGUUAUUGCCCCUUAAGCUGACGAUAGCAGCCCUAGAUGUCUCAGUGGAGGAGGAGUGCCAGGCUCUGAAAGAAAUGAUGCCUUGCUUGUCAUUUGCCUGCUUUUAAAAGUAUAUUAAGACAGCUUUGGCUUGAGUGCCCUGCAGGCAGGAAUUCUGAGCCAGGACAGGCUGGUUUUCACGGUGUCCAUCCCUGUUUCCAAAAAAAAGCCUUGACUCAGGGUUGCUGAGUGCAACUGCUGCAACUGGAGGCUGCUGUACCCAGGCUGCCUCGUGCCUGAUGACUCUCACAGCACAAUAGAUUUUCUUUUUCGAACCUUUAAAAGUUCUUGGGUGUGUUUACAGUUCAAUGCUUGUUCAUCCCUGAGGAGAUUUUGCUGGCUAAAGUCCUCCAAAUGUGGAGGGCUGUCCUGUCACUGUUAAGCACAGGGUAGCUGAAACAAGGUAAUGGUUAUCAGGGAUUGGGGAUGGUGAUUAAGAAGCUGACUAUUGUAUUUAUUACCAUCUCCUCCCACAAGCUCCUGCCUUGCUUGUUUGCCUUCUGAGGCCCGACUGUGCUGCUGUUUAUUGGGAGAGCACUGCUCUUUUCCAAGAUGUUUCGUUUUAAAACCCUCAGAAUGUCCCCAGGGCGUUUGAAAGGGGAUGUGCUGUGUCACGAAAGACAGUGUUCCACAUGGAAGGAUUUUUUUCCCCAAGUGACAGGCUGGUUGAGCUGUAAACAUGCAAAGGAGGAUCACCAUUACAAAUGUGAGAGAGAGCAGAGAAGAGCUGACCCCAGCUCAGGCAAAGAAACAAGAGAGUGUCUGGACUUCCCCAAAUGCAGGUGCUGCUCCUCACUUGGUAUUCUUUUGAACAUCAUGUAGAUAAUUUUCUGAGAUUGAUAUUAACCUCUUUUUAUGAGCAUGCACAAGCACCAAAUGUUGAAAUCCACUUCAGGCCUGGAUGGAAAAAUUCUGACUACGGUUUGCUGUCAGGAAAUGCUGGUUCAGCAAGAGGAAAAAGAUGUCAACUUCAACAGUAAAAAAAGGAUCAGAAAGAAACAGAAAAAAUAUGAUACCACUGAAGAUACUCUCCUGGGGGCUUUUUGAAGCAGUGAGGUUUAUUUUUCAGUGCCCUGUUUUUAUUGUUCAUUGACAUGUAGGAUAAACACAGCCAGAGCGGAGGCUGUACCUUUUUUUUUCCCCUGUGGCUUUGCUCAGUAUAUGGUAGGUAACAGCUUCUGCAUACCCAACACAUCCUUCCCAGUACCUACCUGCAAUAACACUGGUGCUAACAGUGCAGGUAAAGUGGGAGAAACUUUUUCUGAUGUGCCAUCUUUCUUAAGGGAGAGAAAAGUGCCUCUGGGAAGCACAAAACUCCCAUGGAGGCAUGCUGGGAUCUAUCUUGGAGGUGGAUUAUCUCCUUCACUGACACCCUGCACUCCUGGCUGUGUGGGUUAACUGAUGACCUAGUAAAACCAUUGGCUCCUCUCAGGUCUUGACAUACUCCUCAUUUAUGCAGCUGUGGCUACUUAGGUCUGCUAAUUCUAAAAAUGGGGUUCUUCCUGAGCACCUAAGUCCUCACCUAAGUCCUACAAAAUUAAAUAUGCAGGGCAGAAACAAGACGUGGAAGAAUAACCCUGUGUUGCAUAGGAAGUGUGUGUAAUUUUGGCUACUGCUCUGCAUUUUUUUAUGUCUGCCAAAUACAUGAGAUUGACAAGUAAAUAGACAAAAAUAUAUAUGUUGAAGCAAAAAAAGCUAAGAAAAACAGUAUUCUAGUGAAGUUCUGAAAACAGCUAACCAAAUAAAUCUCCCCAAAUACAUAGCUUUGCUACCCAGGGUGGUUGUUUGGUUCAGGACCUUCCCAAUUAGCAUUAUAAACAUACCAAAGUGCUAUGCAUGUUUUUUGAGUAAAUCACCUAAAUAGAUUAUUACUGUUGGGUAGCAAUUAAAAUGAUUGAGUAGUCUAAUCUAUGUCCUGGUGUAGUGCCAAGUAUCAGAGCUCUGAUUUAUGCAUUUCCCCCUCCUCCCCAUGUUGCUUCUGAAACGGGACAGCGUGGGAAGCCUGGCAGCGCAUGGGACAGAACUCCUCUCAACACUGUCAGGCCACUUGCUCCUCAAAUUCCCCUUCAGGAAGUGGGAUGGUGAGAGGAGAAGAGACUUGGUGCUUCCCAUCCCUGCUGUUGAAUGGAGCCAGGCUUUCUUUGGACUGCAAGUAAAUUCACUGGGCCAGAUGCUCAGGCCAAGCCCCAGGGCUGCUUGUUCCUAGGAGGGAAAGGUAGAAGAUUCCUGAGGUAUUUUUUUUUUUUUAGUUUCUUUAUUUUGUGUUAUGGUGAAGUUCCUGUCUCGGAAGUGAUGCUUGUAUUUUAGUCUCCUUUUUCAGUGCAGAAAGGCAGAGGAUACAAGAGGAGAGCAUCAUUUUUAUGACAACAAGGAUGCAUCCUUUGCAAUUGUGACUUCCUUUGGCUGGGAUGUGGGAUGCUGUGGCCGUCCUGCUGUGUUUUCUGUCUUUCUCUGGGACAGCUGAAUAAUGUCCGUAGCCAGACAUAUGCUCAUGGCCUGGAAUGAAGUCGACUGCAAUUACAUCCUAAGGGAGUCACUCAACGGGGGUUUUGUGGAGGCAGGACGCAGGCUCUGGUGGAGCUGCACAUGUGCUGUUAGACCUCCAACUGCACUCACUCUGCCUGCAGCUUUGUGGGAGCGAGGAGCAGCAGGCUCAGAAAUACAGCAGUCUGGUGCACAUCUGGAGACAGUAAUUGGAGUGCCUGUCUCUGUGCUAGAUGAGGGCCUGUGGGGAGUUCAGGGAGUGCAGGUCUGGGCCGUGUAUCACUCUGUCCCCAGGACCAAGCUGGGAGAGUGGGUACAGAGACAUGAGCUUUCAAUACCUGCAAAUUUCCAUCUGGUUUGUUAGCAGCACUCCUCAUGAAGGGGAUUAUGAAAAGUUGGAGAUGCUACAGUGUUUCAGACUCAUUUGACUGUGGUGGCUGAACUGAACCACUUCUGACUUGCCCUCCUGAAAGUGAACGGAGGACAAGGCUGUGCGGUGGGGCUGGUGACAACUCGGUUUCAACCUCUGCUGCAGCAGCCUGGCUGAGAGGAUGGCUUUUGGCUCGUGAAGAGGAACUCUCGGAGGCUGGACCAUUUCCCCUCACACUCCUGGGUCUCUCCAAGACUGCUGUGUAAUGCUCAGGAAGGCUUCUAGGGGCAAGGUGCUUUUCUGCAUCUACCAGAAAACCCUGCAAACUCAUUAAUAAAGGCAAGAUAAAAUAAAGCUUGGAAAGUCAACAUGUUCAAGAAGAUAUGCCAUUCUGGGAAACAAGAGGAGAGGAGGUGUGUAUUUACGUGAACAAAAGAAGUCCAAACUGUAAACCGUAAUAUAUCUGUUAGCUUAUUAAUGUGUCUGAUGCUGACUAAUUCCAGGGGUGUUCCUGCUGGCCAGCAGCAAAAGUGCAAAUAAGUGGACAGCUGUGAUUUAGUGCCAAAUAUUUGAACACAUCGUGACAAUUCAGGCCACCCACUCUCUUAAGUAAAUACGACUUCUGUAGAAUCAUUUCAAACUGGGCUGAAGUGCAGAGCAUCCACUUUCAUGUGCAUCUCAGCCAAAUGGCCCUUAAGUAUUUGGGGCCAAACUGUGCCUUCUCUUACACCCUGGGAGCCCCAGUUCACUCCAGAGUUUGCACUAUGUGUAGCUGAGGGGCAGAGCUGACUCUUGAUGCUAAUCUGACUUUUUCUAGCUCAGUAAGUACAAUUUCACAUGUAAAUGUGAAUGUGGAACAGAUCUGGACUAGAUUAUCUCCUGAAUCCUUGACAAAAAGCCAUAAUUGUUUAUCCAGAUGAGGUUUCUUUCUCUCUCUUUUACUUUCUCUGCACUUUAAGCCCAAGGUUUUAAUGGGCUUGUGAAAUAAAUACGUGAGUGUAGAUUACAGUGGUAUCAAAGGUGGGAGGAAAGCCCUUCCCUUCUCCUCAGCACGGCUAAAUGAUCACUUGCUGCACACUUCAGUUCUGCUCUCCAGAGCCUUGGGCAGGGGUGGCUGCGGAUCUGACGGUGGGAGGGAGGGUAUUUCCAAGACAACACUUAGCCCGGGGCUCCCAUUACAGAUGUGAAGGACCUGUGAUAUAUAUCUUCUUUUUUUUCCUGGUAGGCAGUGAAAUUUGUGCUAGUGGCUAUAUCUGGGGCACAGGGUUGUUGGGGGAGGUGAAAAGCAAGGGAAUAUGGAAAAAAAAAUUGUAUUUAUCAGGGAAAUCUAGUUUAAGAGCACAAGUACUAAAACAUUUUAAUCACAGUCAUACGGCUGUGUGUCACUGCAGGGCAGAAUUAAGGCUAUUUGUAUGCCUUGGUAGCACACUGCCACACUUCAACAAGUUUGAAUUUAUUUUAAGGAUAACUUUAACUCUGAAUUCCCUGGGUUUGUAAUGUCUGGUCUGGAAAUAAAUGCAACCUCUUUAUAUUGUA